AUUGAACGCUGGCGGAAUGCUUUACACAUGCAAGUCGAGCGGCAGCACGGACUUCGGUCUGGUGGCGAGUGGCGAACGGGUGAGUAAUACAUCGGAACGUGCCCAGUCGUGGGGGAUAACGUAGUGAAAAUUACGCUAAUACCGCAUACGAUCUAUGGAUGAAAGCGGGGGAUCGCAAGACCUCGCGCGAUUGGAGCGGCCGAUAUCAGAUUAGGUAGUUGGUGAGGUAAAGGCUCACCAAGCCAACGAUCUGUAGCUGGUCUGAGAGGACGACCAGCCACACUGGAGCUGAAACACGGUCCAGACACCUACGGGAGGCAGCAGUGGGAAAUUUUGGACAAUGGACGCAAGUCUGAUCCAGCCAUUCCGCGUGCAGGACGAAGGCCUUCGGGUUGUAAACUGCUUUUGUACAGAACGAAAAGGUUUCUAUUAAUACUAGGGGCUCAUGACGGUACUGUAAGAAUAAGCACCGGCUAACUACGUGCCAGCCGCCGCCGUAA
This 500-nucleotide ribosomal RNA is filed under the name uncultured bacterium. RNAcentral describes it as "partial 16S ribosomal RNA". It matches the Rfam family "Bacterial small subunit ribosomal RNA", at positions 30 to 523 of the family's 1533-position model. The record is from RNAcentral.